GACGAACGCUGGCGGCGUGCCUAAUACAUGCAAGUCGAGCGGACGGAAGGGAGCUUGCUCCCGGAAGUCAGCGGCGGACGGGUGAGUAACACGUGGGUAAUCUGCCUGUCAGACCGGAAUAACGCCUGGAAACGGGUGCUAAUGCCGGAUAGGCAUCCUUAGGGCAUCUUGAGGAUGGGAAAGGCGCUAUGGCGUCACUGACAGAGGAGCCCGCGGCGCAUUAGCUAGUUGGUGGGGUAACGGCCUACCAAGGCGACGAUGCGUAGCCGACCUGAGAGGGUGACCGGCCACACUGGGACUGAGACACGGCCCAGACUCCUACGGGAGGCAG
RNAcentral lists this ribosomal RNA (331 nucleotides) under uncultured Bacillota bacterium. RNAcentral's name for it is "bacterial SSU rRNA". It matches the Rfam family "Bacterial small subunit ribosomal RNA", at positions 28 to 351 of the family's 1533-position model. Lineage: Bacteria; Bacillati; Bacillota. The record is from RNAcentral.